CGCCGGAAGCGCACCGAAAGGUGCGUGCCGCUUGGCGGCCGGCGCACAGGGUGCUGCAUGGCUGUCGUCAGCUCGUGCUGUGAAGUGUUGGGUUAAGUCCCGCAACGAGCGCAACCCCCUGCUGCCUGUUGCCACCACGAGAGGUGGGGACUCAGGCGGGACCGCCGGUGACAAACCGGAGAAGGUGGGGACGACGUCAAGUCAUCAUGGCCCUUAUGUCCUGGGCUACACACGUGCUACAAUGGCCGGUACAGAGCGCAGCGAGGCCGCGAGGCGGAGCGAAUCGCUUAAAGCCGGUCCCAGUACGGAUUGGAGUCUGCAACCCGACUCCAUGAAGUUGGAAUCGCUAGUAAUCGCGCAUCAGCAUGGCGCGGUGAAUACGUUCCCGGGCCUU
This 394-nucleotide ribosomal RNA is filed under the name uncultured Spirochaeta sp. RNAcentral's name for it is "bacterial SSU rRNA". It matches the Rfam family "Bacterial small subunit ribosomal RNA", at positions 989 to 1382 of the family's 1533-position model. The record is from RNAcentral. Lineage: Bacteria; Pseudomonadati; Spirochaetota; Spirochaetia; Spirochaetales; Spirochaetaceae.